CCAAGGACAUGUGUGCUAAAUUGUGUCUUAUUCCAGGCAAGUAUCGACCCUCCUGCCUCUGCUGCAUCCAACUACUGCCUUGAAAAAAAGCACUUACUGCUCACACGCCUAGGUUUUGUCAUUGUCUUUAUAAAAACGAAUUUGAUCAUCAAGCCAAAUCUUUCUUAAAGACCUCCAGUACCAGGGAACAUUGCACCCAGAAGUCAGGUCUAAAAACUCUACUACAGGAAUCUCUGAAAGAACCAGUCAUGACACAUCGUUCUUAAUGGAACUACCAUGCAAUACUUUAUUUUGAACACUGACUAGCCUUUGGUGAU
Non-coding RNA from Pelobates cultripes (western spadefoot toad), 317 nucleotides. The record is from the annotation of a GenBank genome assembly. Lineage: Eukaryota; Metazoa; Chordata; Amphibia; Anura; Pelobatidae.